Molecule: microRNA precursor, 91 nt
Filed under: Canis lupus dingo (dingo)
Lineage: Eukaryota; Metazoa; Chordata; Mammalia; Carnivora; Canidae
Description: mir-8799 microRNA precursor family
Rfam family: mir-8799 microRNA precursor family
Source: Rfam by way of RNAcentral
CGGGGGAGGCGGGAUCCUGGGCUGUGUCCCGGCGCCCUGUGCUCCGGGGCCUGCGCUGUUGGGUUCGCGCUCCCGGGCCGCGCAACCCCCU